GUUAAGACCGUCAUUUUCCCAUCUCCAAUCUACUUGUUCCUGCUCUUCAACUGAUCAAAUCAAACCCAGAGAGGAGUUGGAUAAAGCUCUCUUGAAGCUUUGAGACAUCGUAAUUUCCUCCAAAAUCAUUCUCUCAUACCCAGUUACCCACACCCACACCACGGCGCAACCCCAACCACAUCCUCUGCAACUCCAACCACAUCCUACCACUCCCUCUGCAACCCCAACCACAUACUCCGCAACCCCCUCAUCUUCUCCGUCCGCCGUCACCACCACUUUGCCGCCAACCAUCACGACUUCCCCGUCAAUCAUCACCAAAUUCGUUCAUUCGUCAUCGAUCUCCCUCUGCUAAGGCAAUGAGGUGCACAAAAGUGAAAUGGAAGAAAUGAAAGAAGGUCACAUUGGUUAAUUCCGGCAACACCAUAAAAUGAGCUGCUGCAAUUUUUACUUCCUUGUAGCCUUUUUUUGGGCUUUGGGAAGGUAAAUACCCUCUAUAGACACGUAGAUAGAGACAUGUUUUAUGUUUGACCAAAUGCUUCAUGUCAAGCUAUACAUGUCGAAACGUCGGAUAGGAUUGGUUGUGCAGUGUGUCCGCUCAUCUUGAUCAUCUAACAGUAAAAAUUGCAACACCAAAUGAGCUGUUGCAAUUUUUACUUGAAGCCUUUUUUGGUCUUGGGGAAGGUAAAUACCCUCCAUAGACACGUAGAUAGAGACAUGUUUCAGUUUGGCCAAAUGCUUCAUGUCAAACUAUACAUAUCGAAACGCCAUAUAGGAUUCGUUGUGCAGUGUGUCCACUCAUCUUCAUCAUCUAACAGUGAAGUGGGAUCCUUUAAAGACCAUGAUAGCCCUCAGCCUUAGCCACAAGUGCUUGAUUUUGGAUUGGUAAUUAAUUGCUAGAUGUAUUUCAACUGGGGUUUACAGUUAAGUUUUCCUCGCAUUUCAUUUGGGAUUGGAAUGAAAUGCCCAAGUGACUGUGCCGUGCACUCCCGUUUCUAUAUGAAAACUAAUUUAAAUUUGUGUGUAAUGCCUUCAAUCUUGAUGAAUGCUGGUGGAUUACAUAAAUACUUGGACUGUUUGGUUGCCAAUGUGCAUGUCUUAGUCUUAUUUGUUUUCAUGGCAUUUGUAUGCUCAUUCCUUUCAUUAUAAGCACUAUAUAUAUUUUUCAAAAGUGAUUAUAAAUAUAUAACAUGGACAUGACACGAUUCCAUUUCUUUCCCUCUUCAGUGAUUUUUUGGGAUUUUUUAGCACAAUUGGGAACAAAUGGUAAUCCAAUAGUUGUUCGAAGAAAUGAACGCCUUUAGACAGGAAGUGAGCAUUGCAAAGAGUUGAGUAGUUAAUACUCUGUCAUGUUUAUGGUAGUGUGCUAACAGGAAGAUAAUUCCAUAUGAUAUUUUUGGCAGUAAGUACUUUGGAUAUUUGAUUGCUCUGUACGCAAAUUAUAAAUUUAGUGAUCUUCUGUGUCUAAUGGGAGCAGUAGGUUUGGAUCUAAUUGGACAAUAGGAGUUUUUAAUGGUUUGGGAACAAUAGGUUUGCGUCAAAUGUUGAAGCAGUUAUAAUGUAAUUUGAGUAGCCAAGGUCACAUUAUCACGAGUAGAAAAAUCAUCCCUUUCUCCC
Rhododendron vialii is the source of this 1614-nucleotide long non-coding RNA. RefSeq lists it as uncharacterized. NCBI's taxonomy places the organism in Eukaryota, Viridiplantae, Streptophyta, Magnoliopsida, Ericales, Ericaceae. The record is from RefSeq and is a predicted model, not a curated record. The transcript has 2 exons.